UACGUAGGGUGCAAGCGUUGUCCGGAAUUAUUGGGCGUAAAGAGCUCGUAGGCGGUCUGUCGCGUCGGCUGUGAAAACUCGGGGCUCAACUCCGAGCUUGCAGUCGAUACGAGCAAACUAGAGUGUUGCAGGGGAGACUGGAAUUCCUGGUGUAGCGGUUGAAAUGCGCAGAUAUCAGGAGGAACACCGGUGGCGAAGGCGGGUCUCUGGGCAACAACUGACGCUGAGGAGCGAAAGCGUGGGGAGCGAACAGG
This 254-nucleotide ribosomal RNA is filed under the name uncultured bacterium. RNAcentral describes it as "partial 16S ribosomal RNA". It matches the Rfam family "Bacterial small subunit ribosomal RNA", at positions 524 to 776 of the family's 1533-position model. The record is from RNAcentral.